RNAcentral lists this ribosomal RNA (489 nucleotides) under uncultured Chloroflexota bacterium. Its description in RNAcentral is "bacterial SSU rRNA". It matches the Rfam family "Bacterial small subunit ribosomal RNA", at positions 355 to 859 of the family's 1533-position model. The record is from RNAcentral. Lineage: Bacteria; Bacillati; Chloroflexota.
UAGGGAAUAUUGCUCAAUGGGCGAAAGCCUGAAGCAGCAACGCCGCGUGUGCGAUGAAGGUCUUCGGAUCGUAAAGCACUUUUCUGAGAGAUGAGAAAGGACAGUAUCUCAGGAAUAAGUCUCGGCUAACUACGUGCCAGCAGCCGCGGUAACACGUAGGAGGCGAGCGUUAUCCGGAUUCACUGGGCGUAAAGCGCGUGCAGGCGGUUUGGUAAGUUGGGCGUGAAAGCUCCCGGCUCAACUGGGAGAGGUCGUUCAAUACUACCAGACUUGAGAGCAGAAGAGGAAGAUGGAAUUCCCGGUGUAGUGGUGAAAUGCGUAGAUAUCGGGAGGAACACCAGUGGCGAAGGCGAUCUUCUGGUCUGUUUCUGACGCUCAGACGCGACAGCUAGGGUAGUAAACGGGAUUAGAGACCCCGGUAAUCCUAGCCGUAAACGAUGUGAACUUGGCGUUGGUGGCUUAAACACCAUCAGUGCCGAAGCAAACGCG